UUGAAAGUGAACCGCAUGUUCGAUUGGGUUAAAUUUUAAUCUUUUUUUUCUUCGUCUUUCUUUUAUGUAUUUUCCAUUUUAAAACAGCAAUCUACUCUUCCAGCAGAUGAGGUAAUUCGAUUCGAAUAUAAGCUGUGGUGUCCCCCGAAAUCUUGAAGAAAUUUGUAGUGGCGAUCGAUGGUGGGGAGAGAUGUGGAGAAGAUGUUGGCAGUAGGGCUUGUUUGGGGGGCCACUAACGCCCUCAUGCGCAAAGGCGCAAUCUUAUGGGAC
This 270-nucleotide long non-coding RNA is filed under the name Salvia miltiorrhiza (redroot sage). RNAcentral's name for it is "long non-coding RNA (SMIL_LNC003843)". Lineage: Eukaryota; Viridiplantae; Streptophyta; Magnoliopsida; Lamiales; Lamiaceae. The record is from RNAcentral.